This 323-nucleotide ribosomal RNA is filed under the name uncultured bacterium. RNAcentral's name for it is "bacterial SSU rRNA". It matches the Rfam family "Bacterial small subunit ribosomal RNA", at positions 8 to 333 of the family's 1533-position model. The record is from RNAcentral.
AGAGUUUGAUUAUGGCUCAGAUUGAACGCUGGCGGCAUGCUUUACACAUGCAAGUCGAACGGUAACAGGGUGCUUGCACCGCUGACGAGUGGCGAACGGGUGAGUAAUGCAUCGGAAUGUACCGUGUAAUGGGGGAUAGCUCGGCGAAAGCCGGAUUAAUACCGCAUACGCCCUGAGGGGGAAAGUGGGGGACCGCAAGGCCUCACGUUAUACGAGCAGCCGAUGUCUGAUUAGCUAGUUGGUGAGGUAAAGGCUCACCAAGGCGUCGAUCAGUAGCGGGUCUGAGAGGAUGAUCCGCCACACUGGGACUGAGACACGGCCCA